GCUUUCAGAAGUGUUGCUGCUGUAGCUACUUCUCAGUGCACACAUUGGUGGCUCAGAGGCUGGAGGGGAGGACCAGUGGUACUGCAGGACCCCUGCUCAGUGCCUGUCAUCAGUGAACCCUACUGCUGCACAAUGCAUGUCUGACCCCAAAGCAAAGGAAGAAGAGUGAUAACAGAAAUGAACACUGCUGACAAGGUAAACAGAGAGACAUGGCAACCUGCUUGUUAGAGACAGCUAAUGCUUGAGGGAACUCUGCAUUCAACACCAAUGCAAGGAAAAAAUCUUAAGAGAGGAAACCUCAGGAAUAUUUCCUUCGCAAAUUGUAUUUUCAAGGCCUUUCAAUACUUAUGAUAAACAUGUAGGUAAGAUUAAGG
Coturnix japonica (Japanese quail) is the source of this 374-nucleotide non-coding RNA. The record is from RefSeq and is a predicted model, not a curated record. Lineage: Eukaryota; Metazoa; Chordata; Aves; Galliformes; Phasianidae.